Molecule: long non-coding RNA, 290 nt
Filed under: Mus pahari (shrew mouse)
Lineage: Eukaryota; Metazoa; Chordata; Mammalia; Rodentia; Muridae
Description: lncRNA (MGP_PahariEiJ_G0004556.1)
Source: RNAcentral
UUUUAGACUUUCUCUCUGUGCAAUGCCUGUCUGUGAGGUUCUGUGUUUGUUCCUAUCUGCUGCUGGAGGCAGCCUGUCUGGUUAUGAAACAGGAUCAAUGUUUCCAGGCUUCCAAAGUUAACUGAGGUCCAAUGGCUCUUCAGGAACACUCUCAGUCCUUGGACAGAUUGGAAGAGCUGAGCUACCCACUCUGCCUCAACCACAGAACAGAGACUGGCCAUUACUAUUUCGACUUAGCUAGUUUAAUAAGUUCUUCAUAUCUUGUUCUCCUAGUGAAUUUUGAUUAAGGC